RNAcentral lists this ribosomal RNA (449 nucleotides) under uncultured bacterium. RNAcentral's name for it is "partial 16S ribosomal RNA". It matches the Rfam family "Bacterial small subunit ribosomal RNA", at positions 29 to 523 of the family's 1533-position model. The record is from RNAcentral.
AACGAACGCUGGCGGCAUGCCUAACACAUGCAAGUCGAACGAGGCCUUCGGGUCUAGUGGCGCACGGGUGCGUAACGCGUGGGAAUCUGCCCCUGGGUCUGGAAUAACAGUUAGAAAUGACUGCUAAUACCGGAUGAUGACUUCGGUCCAAAGAUUUAUCGCCCAGGGAUGAGCCCGCGUCGGAUUAGCUAGUUGGUGAGGUAAAAGCUCACCAAGGCGACGAUCCGUAGCUGGUCUGAGAGGAUGAUCAGCCACACUGGGACUGAGACACGGCCCAGACUCCUACGGGAGGCAGCAGUGGGGAAUAUUGGACAAUGGGCGAAAGCCUGAUCCAGCAAUGCCGCGUGAGUGAUGAAGGCCUUAGGGUUGUAAAGCUCUUUUACCCGGGAUGAUAAUGACAGUACCGGGAGAAUAAGCCCCGGCUAACUCCGUGCCAGCCGCCGCAGUAA